RNAcentral lists this non-coding RNA (19 nucleotides) under Arabidopsis thaliana (thale cress). The record is from RNAcentral. Lineage: Eukaryota; Viridiplantae; Streptophyta; Magnoliopsida; Brassicales; Brassicaceae.
UUUAAAGUGUUAAGUGGUU